Long non-coding RNA from Benincasa hispida (wax gourd), 438 nucleotides. RefSeq lists it as uncharacterized. The record is from RefSeq and is a predicted model, not a curated record. Lineage: Eukaryota; Viridiplantae; Streptophyta; Magnoliopsida; Cucurbitales; Cucurbitaceae.
CGACACCCUAACAAAUCCCAUUUCCGACUGUGGACGAAGAAUGCGAACAAUUCUACUGAACAAAGGGCUAGAAAACUAAGAAAAUGCCAGGCAGGAGAAAGCAAACCCAAAGAAAAAGGAUGAGAUGUCAAAGAAUGCUCAGUUUCGAGCAAUACAACCUAAUAAAUAUAUCAUUUCAUUCGUAGAAGAGAAUGUAAUUUGCAUAGCUAUGUGUUGUUAAGUCUGUUUUGCUUUUUAGGCAUUCUAUUAACUUUUCAUGUGUUGUUCCAUUUAUUAUUAUUUAUUAUUUUGUUAACAGUUUUUGGGCAUGAUUGAGAUUAAAAGAGCAGGCUAUAACACUAACCUCACUUCCUCUAUAGUUAAUAUCCCCUUUUCUAACAAUGCUGAGAGAGAAAGAAUUGAAGAAAAUGUAUGUAUUUGAUAUUUAUGUAACAGAAA